AUGGCCCAGGGGGCGCGUGGGGAGGGACGCGCGGGCCGGUGGCGAGGCCAGGAGAGGAGGCCCCGGGGUGCCGGGACGGUGCCGCACGGGGCGCAGAGGGCACACGCGGGGCGCCGGGCCCCGGGGCUCCAGGCCAGCACAGGCGUUGCUCAGACCACGCUCCUGGUCCUGGAUGGUCCACGGGAACUAACCGAGGACGCACAGGCAGCCGGCCCCGCGCGGCAGGCGGCGGCGCCCGUCCUCACCGGCUCCGGCUCCGGGCCCGCUCCGCUGGUGGUCAUAAACGCCGUCCUCCCCGCGGGGCACAGGCGCGGCGGCUCGCGGCUCCUCGCGGCUCCUCGCGGCUCCUCGACCCCGGCCGGCCGCUCUGCGCGUCGGAGCCUUCGCGGGAAGCGCUGUCCCUUUAGGAAUAAACGCCCGGUUACAGCGCCCGGCGCCGCGGGGCCCCGCCGACCCGGCCGCGACCCGGAGGCAGUUGGACGUGCGCGCCCGGGAGGCCCCCGCCCGCCCCCGCCCGGGCCGCGUCCCCGCGCGCCUCCCCGGCGCCUCCCGGGCUCCUCCCCGCCCCGCCCCGGCCCGCCGCGCGCCCCGGGGAAGCUCGGCCCGGCCGCCCGGGGCCGCCGCGGCCAUCUUACCUGGCGGAGCCCGCCUCCCGCGCUGCGCGGUCUCCACGGCCGCUCGCGGGGCCGGGCCGAGCCGGGAGGGCGGCGGGGCGCGGGGGACGCGCGGCGGAGGCGGGAGCCGCGGCGGCGGCGGGGGCGGGGGCGGGGGCGGGGAGCGGGAGGGCAGACGCACCGGCGGCCGCCCCUCCAGGCACCUCCCGCGAGACCGCGCGAGCGCAGGCCCCGAGCCGGCAGCCAAUCAGGGGCCCCCGCGAGGGGGCGGGGCGCGGCGGCCGCCCGGAAGCGCGGGACUCGGGCUUCCGUCCUUGCGCAGAACGGCGCUCGCGGCGCCCUCGCUCUACGGGUUGGCGCGAGAGUCAAAAGGCGUCGGCCGACCCCGGGCAAGAUGGCCGCCGUCGAGGUGUCGUUGUGGGGGAACUUCGCGCCGCGAUGGCGACAUCUAGGCUGA
RNAcentral lists this long non-coding RNA (1071 nucleotides) under Canis lupus dingo (dingo). Its description in RNAcentral is "lncRNA (ENSCAFG00020001148.1)". Lineage: Eukaryota; Metazoa; Chordata; Mammalia; Carnivora; Canidae. The record is from RNAcentral.